This 1431-nucleotide long non-coding RNA is filed under the name Mus musculus (house mouse). RNAcentral describes it as "long non-coding RNA chr16:41498279-41499710". The record is from RNAcentral. Lineage: Eukaryota; Metazoa; Chordata; Mammalia; Rodentia; Muridae.
UGGGCAAAUAAUAAUUGUUUAAGGAUAGAAAAGCAGAAAAUGUUGUAGGAACAGAGUGCUCUCUCUGUGGGGCUGAACUUCAGAUUUCGGGGAGAGAAAUGACCUAGAAUCCCAAAAAGUUGAAACGUUCCCAGGAGGAACCAACCACUUAGGGAUUUCUUUUCCUGAUGUGCACGGCUUCUCAUCCCUGAGACAUGCUCGGCCUAUGUGGAAAUAUGUAAGUCAUGUGGAGAAGCAUGAAAGAAAUGGGAUCUGUCCUUCAAUCAUGUCACUCGGUGCUUUAUUUCACUUCCAGAAAUGGAGGGGAAACAAGACCUUAUAAAAGACCAAAAGCUUUAAGUAGGUUUUGAUUCUUGUCAGGUGCUCUGCCUCAUAUUCACACCUAGUGGUGUGGAUGGAGGCUGGAGCCAUGGAAAAAGAAGUCAAAAGGCACCCAUCAUUCUCUACUUUGUUUAUAAUCGACCUGUGCUUUACAUGUGAGUUCUCAUCACACAACAUGUGUGGGUAAAUGCUGCAUGCAAUAACAUAAAGCUUGUGUUUCAGGCAAUGCUUCACACAAACUCAUAAGAAGGAAAGGGGAAGGAGAAGCAGAAAUGGACACACUUCUAGAAAGAGGUGAAUUACAGUUAUGAACUUAGCUGUGACUUCAGGGCAUAUGUAGAAUAUAUUAUUUAAUUCUCACAAAAAUCUAAUGUGAUAAUUAUGUCUGCUUCCAUUUUGGUAGAUGAAGUUUCACUUAAGUAAGCAUAUAGUUUUUAUUCUUAGUCUCCUUAAAUAUCAAUGUGAUUUGUUCAUACCUGAGAAAAAAAUCUUUUUAGAUACAUUUUUGUAUCCUUCCCUGAUAAUGAGUGUCGGUGGUCUCCACUCCUAAUAAUAGCUUAGUAUUUUAAAAAUCUAUGAUGAAUUUGACAUCUGAAGCCAGAGUUCCUCUCGCUUAACCCUCUCAAUGUUUAAACCUUUCAUUACCAUGUAUAACUGUUCAGUUUCCCUAUCAUAAUGAGGAAAAGAUAGCCAUCCUGGCUUGGUUCCUUCCAUAGCAACUGGCCCAUACCUUCUCCUCUGGUAACCACAUACACAUCAAUUGUCUUAUAGCUACUACAUUUAGUGUUCUUUGCAAGUGGGCAUCCCAUAAUAGUGUCUUGGGCUUGCUAUUUUAAAUAUCAUCACAUAUGGUUUUAAGCAAAAGAAACGUGCUACCACACAGCUCUGCAGUUGGAUGUCUGAUAUUAAGAUUUUGACAGGAUUGAUACCUCAGGAAGAUGUGAGGAAAGGAUAUGUCAGGCCUUGACUCUAGCUCUGAUGAAUGCUGACAAUCUGGCAUUCAUUGACUUGAAGAGUCACGUUGAUUACCUUCUUCAUCUUGACAUGGAGAUAACCUGUUACACCCCUUUCAUUCCAAUGAGGACAUUCAUCUAAUCCUUACAACCUCAC